ACGGCUUUCCGGAGUAGAGCCCUUGGAGGGGCUGGAGAGACUCCUGCAAGAUAUUGAGGCAUUUAGAAUGUAUGGUUCUGUUGCCGUGGUUGUCACCUCCGCUCUACGCCAAAUUUAAGACUCAUUUCUUAAGGAUGUCUCUAUUUUCUGCUUUAUUUGCACAUUGAUGGCUCUGCUGCUCAGCUGGCCACGGCCGCCCGGCGUCUGAGAUAGAAUUGUGUUAAUAUGAGAAAGGGAACGGCCGAUCAUGAUUAGCAGGCAGACGGCAUGCAGAUAGCAUCUGGCGGGUUUUCUCCGUUUUUAUAUGAAAGCGUUCACUUGUUUGCUGGUAAACACGAGGUUUUAACUUUUUAUCUGGGUAGUGGUGACCGUUUGUUUCACUCUCCCCUCCUUUUUACUUCCUAUUCAUUAGCUUUUCCGUUUGGAAAGCUGCAUACUUGUUAGCGGUAGUUUGGUGUCUUGACUCUGAAGCUUUCUCUUCCAGCAGAGGUGGGAUCUGUAUCCCUCCCAUCCUAGGUUACCAAGAAGACUUUUUCUCCCCUUACUUUCUAUUGAAUUUGUGUCUUUCCCAACAUUUAAACUUACACUAGGGAUAAGUUUGCUCGGGUUGUUUUUGACGUAGGACUAUUAAAUAUUCUCAUUUUGAAACUUCCUAAAGGUUUAUUGGUUUGUCAUGUCUGCACCGAUCCAGUUUCGCAUAACUCUUAAAAUUUAAAGCUUUAAAGUACGGUUCGCAAUUGUAUUGUCAAGACAUGGCCCUAGAGCUUGUUCUUCAAGUUUUGGCUGUACAGUUGUCAUUGUUUCAGUCAAGUGCAAAAGAGGUUAUUCCUGUUUAUUUAGUGUUAAUAGCUAUUUACAGUUAAAACUUUAAAGACUCAUAGAAGUAGGUCUGCUGUAUUUUAAAGAUCUCAUCAUUCUUGUGGGAGAGACACAACACCAACACCAGGAAAGGCAACAGAUUGCUUCUGUCAUAUCGCUUUGCUGUUUUGGAGUGUACUUAAAGGAUUAUGAUUGAUAAGGCUGUCUUGCCAGAGAAUGUUGACACAGGUGUGCAUCGUUAUCUUAAUUAAGAUCCUGAGAAAAUGUUGUCUAUAAAUGGUGACAUAAGAAGGGCGGCAUAUUUUUGUACAGUUUUGCUUUUGGAGAAUUUAAUUGCACUUGAAACCUGUCUUUGAGCUUCCAGAUUUUGUGAGCACUUUAGCAACAGAAGUUUUAGAGAGAAAUGAUAGUUUAAUGUUAAGUGUUCUGGCAUGUACUAAUACUACUUGUGGCUUUUUGGCAAUGCCUGUGUCGGCUUUCUUUGUGCUCUACCUUUGUGGAAUAAUGGUUUCUAAUUUUGAAAGAAAAGCAUAAAAUAGAGCAGUAUUUUAUUAAGCAAACACUUGUUAGUGUUCAGAAUAAGUCUGUAGAGGAGGGCAUGCUUAAUGUGCAGAAACAGGAAUAUAAUAAGAGGUGUUAAGUGUGAUGCUUCCAUAAUACAUUUGGAUGCUGUCAGCUAAGUUCACUUCUGAACUAAGGGGUUCCUCCAAAUGUUGGCUGAAAUUCAUCCCAAGGCUGGUCUGCAAAGUCUGCAAUUCAUAAUGGAGCUACUGUACUGGCUAUUGGAAGGAGGAGAUUCUGAAGAUAAGGAGGUAAAACCUGUUUAGAAAUUAAAAAUGAGUUACGAUUUAAAGAAAAUUCAGAUGACUCAUUGUGAGUGCUAGUUCUCUUGUAGGAUGCCACUGGAAAUGUUGAAAUGAAAAAUAUUCAGCCGUUGGUCUUUGAAAUUUCCUGUGAUGUGUUUCAAUCUAGAUGCAAAGAACAUGGAAAAAUCAAAGUGCUCGAGUGGUUUAAAUAUGUUUUGGGUAUUCCUGUUUAUAGACUAUAAUACUUUUCCAAUUAAAAUCCUCAGUUGUCACGCAGAAGAAGGUUAAGCUGUAUUUGAUUGCCAGUUUUACUGAAAAUGCUUAGUAUUUUACAGUAUCACCAAAUAUAUUUUGUUUAGCCAAGGUAUAGGAAAAAUAAAAUAAAUUGUAUAGGUUGA
Molecule: long non-coding RNA, 2023 nt
Filed under: Homo sapiens (human)
Lineage: Eukaryota; Metazoa; Chordata; Mammalia; Primates; Hominidae
Description: colorectal neoplasia differentially expressed
Source: RNAcentral